This 482-nucleotide ribosomal RNA is filed under the name uncultured bacterium. Its description in RNAcentral is "partial 16S ribosomal RNA". It matches the Rfam family "Bacterial small subunit ribosomal RNA", at positions 30 to 507 of the family's 1533-position model. The record is from RNAcentral.
AUUGAACGCUGGCGGCAUGCCUUACACAUGCAAAUCGAACGGUAACGGGCCUUCGGGUGCCGACGAGUGGCGCACGGGUGAGUAAUACAUCGGAACGUUCCCGAUCGUGGGGGAUAACGAGGCGAAAGCUUUGCUAAUACCGCAUACGAUCUACGGUUGAAAGCCGGGGACCGCAAGGCCUUGCGCGGACGGAGCGGCCCAUGGCAGAUUAGGUAGUUGGUGGGAUAAAAGCUUUCCAAGCCGACGAUGUGUAGCUGGUCGGAGAGGAUGAUCAGCCACACUGGGACUGAGAAACGGCCCAGACUCCUACGGGAGGCAGCAGUGGGGAAUUUUGGACAAUGGGCGCAAGCCUGAUACAGCAAUGCCGCGUGCAGGAUGAAGGCCUUCGGGUUGUAAACUGAUUUUGUACGGAACGAAAAGCCUUCUUUUAAUACAGGAGGGUCAUGACGGUACCGGAAGAAUAAGCACCGGCUAACUACGUG